GUAGAGCGAUGAUUGGUGGAUAGGAUAAACAUGUAAGGGGGCUAUCAGGAUUGGUUGCCGCCUUCUCCGCCGUGGGAGGGCCGGGCAGAGACGCUUCUCGUAGAGAGUUUUUCGGGUUAAAAUGUCUGGAGCCUUCUAUUCCCGCUACAGACUCCUGUGGAGACUUCCCGCCAGGUGUGCGUCACUUUACAUCUUUGGAAACCAGCUGUCUCUUAAGAAAAUUAUCCAGUCGUUCUCCACAGCUGUUCCCGCGGAAGCUCAGAGCCAAAUUGAAUGUGAAUUGAAACCACUCUCCUUGCCCCCAGGUUUCUGGGAUACUGCUGUUACCCCGUCCUACAGAUGAGCAAACAGAAGCAUAAGGAGGCAAGUACAGUGACUGGCUCAAGGCUGUCUACCCGGUUAGUGGGUAGAAGCCAAACCGAGGCCAGCUGGCCGCAGAGCCUGCCCUAGGCCACUGCCUCUCUCCAUGGCGACAGGCACUCGCGGUGCCUUCGUCUCUGUAGCACCAACCACAGGUGCAGGUUUACCUUUGCUUUGUGGCAUGUUUAUAUCCCUGAAGGGACUGUAGGCUCAGUGAGUGUGAAAACAUGUUUGUUUUUGCUCUCCUGGUAGCCUCAGCAGUUCUGGGCACACAGGAGGAGUUGAAUAAAUGCUUGGAUGAGCAAAUACAAAUGAAUGGUGGCUAUGGGCCUGGAUUGCUAGGUGCUUCCAAAUGUCAGCCAGACAUGCUUUACAUGAUCUAGUUCUCAGGACAAACUGCUGAGGCAACUCUAUCUUCAUUUUUCAGUGGAGGAAACGUAGGUCUAAAGAGGCCAAGGGACCUGCCCAAGGCCAGGUCUGAGGCAGGGUGUGAGUCCACAUGGUCUGACGUCAGAGCUCCGCUCUCUGCACAUCACCAUGUUACCUCUUCUUGCCCUUUCUACCCUCCUUUCUUUCCCUUCUCCUAACAUUUUUCAUCCUUCUCUUC
Orcinus orca (killer whale) is the source of this 967-nucleotide long non-coding RNA. RefSeq lists it as uncharacterized. The record is from RefSeq and is a predicted model, not a curated record. The transcript has 3 exons. Lineage: Eukaryota; Metazoa; Chordata; Mammalia; Artiodactyla; Delphinidae.